Molecule: ribosomal RNA, 949 nt
Filed under: Raoultella sp.
Lineage: Bacteria; Pseudomonadati; Pseudomonadota; Gammaproteobacteria; Enterobacterales; Enterobacteriaceae
Description: partial 16S ribosomal RNA
Source: RNAcentral
GUGCCAGCAGCCGCGNUAAUACGGAGGGUGCNAGCGUUANUNGGAAUUACUGGGCGUAAAGCGCACGCNGGCGNUCUGUUAANUCAGAUGUGAANUCCCCGGGCUCAACCUGGGAACUGCAUUUGAAACNGGCAGGCUUGANUNNNUAGAGGGGGGUAGANUUCCAGGUGUAGCGGUGAAAUGCGUAGAGAUCNGGAGGAAUACCGGUGGCGAAGGCGGCCCCCUGGACAAAGACUGACGNUCAGGUGCGAAAGCGUGGGGAGCAAACAGGAUUAGAUACCNUGGUAGUCCACGCUGUAAACGAUGUCGACUUGGAGGUUGUUCCCUUGAGGAGUGGCUUCCGGAGCUAACGCGUUAAGUCGACCGCCUGGGGAGUACGGCCGCAAGGUUAAAACUCAAAUGAAUUGACGGGGGCCCGCACAAGCGGUGGAGCAUGUGGUUUAAUUCGAUGCAACGCGAAGAACCUUACCUACUCUUGACAUCCAGAGAACUUAGCAGAGAUGCUUUGGUGCCUUCGGGAACUCUGAGACAGGUGCUGCAUGGCUGUCGUCAGCUCGUGUUGUGAAAUGUUGGGUUAAGUCCCGCAACGAGCGCAACCCUUAUCCUUUGUUGCCAGCGRUYCGGYCGGGAACUCAAAGGAGACUGCCAGUGAUAAACUGGAGGAAGGUGGGGAUGACGUCAAGUCAUCAUGGCCCUUACGAGUAGGGCUACACACGUGCUACAAUGGCAUAUACAAAGAGAAGCGACCUCGCGAGAGCAAGCGGACCUCAUAAAGUAUGUCGUAGUCCGGAUUGGAGUCUGCAACUCGACUCCAUGAAGUCGGAAUCGCUAGUAAUCGUAGAUCAGAAUGCUACGGUGAAUACGUUCCCGGGCCUUGUACACACCGCCCGUCACACCAUGGGAGUGGGUUGCAAAAGAAGUAGGUAGCUUAANNNNNNGGAGGGCGCUU